CGAGGUCACUCUGGAAAGCAGGACCCGCCCCGGGAGCGCCGUUCACGGGACGGGUCUUCACCGAAGGUGAAAGCCGUCCCGUCAAGGGGCGGUGAAACUCUCAGGUUCUGAUGACAGAGGGGGAGGC
RNAcentral lists this non-coding RNA (127 nucleotides) under Actinacidiphila paucisporea. RNAcentral's name for it is "Streptomyces paucisporeus Glycine sequence". It matches the Rfam family "Glycine riboswitch aptamer". From Rfam's summary of the family: This family represents the bacterial glycine riboswitch. Glycine riboswitches usually consist of two metabolite-binding aptamers domains with similar structures in tandem. The record is from RNAcentral. Lineage: Bacteria; Bacillati; Actinomycetota; Actinomycetes; Kitasatosporales; Streptomycetaceae.